Mus caroli (Ryukyu mouse) is the source of this 1290-nucleotide long non-coding RNA. RefSeq lists it as uncharacterized. NCBI's taxonomy places the organism in Eukaryota, Metazoa, Chordata, Mammalia, Rodentia, Muridae. The record is from RefSeq and is a predicted model, not a curated record.
GGCUUUUCCGUAGCGCAGCUAUCCCACUAUGUCUGUAGAACAACAAAUAAAACAUUUUCUUGGCGCCUCCGAGAAAUGAAUGGCUCAGUUUCUCCUGGCUGACUGUACCAGAAGAGGCCAGAAGAGGGCAACGGAUCCCCUGGAGCUGGAGUUACAGACACUGGGGAGCAGCUAUGCAGGUGCCCAGAAUGAAAUCCAAGUCCUCUGAGUCCAAGAGCAGCCAAUGUUCCUAACCACAGAGCCAUCUCUCCGAUCCCAAAUAUUUCCAUUUCUUCAGUGAUUUGACAAAUAACAGUUGGUUCAACACAGCGGGAGCAAUAUCUCUCGUGAUUAAAUUGAGUGAUCCCCGAGCAAUGGGGGUGCUCCCUAAUGCAUGCUACAAGGCCAGAAUUCUGCUAGAAACCAAACAGAUAGAAGAAAGGAAAACCAUCAAGCUAAUGUCUCUCCUAUGAGCACCGGAUCAAAACCCUCCGAGGACUGGGAAAUAAAAUCCAGCCAUGUACAGAGUUAUCUACCAUGAGCAACUUGAAUUUAUCCCAAGAGUACAAGGAUGGCUCGGUAUCUGAGGAUGAAUCCAGGUAAUCUAACACAUCAAAAGACCAAAGAAGGCAGAUAGCACAAACAUAGUAAAUGGAAAGCUAAUGCGUGCUUAUAAGAGAAAACGUGAUCCUUGUCUUUCUGAGUCUGGGUUACCUCAACCAUAUAUAUUUUUUCCCAUCCUGUAGGCUGACACUUUGCUCAAACGAUUGUGCCAUCAAUUGCUGUACGGAAACCUUGUGGCUUCCUGAAGCCCCACUUAUUAACUAUUGGUCUUAAAGCCUGCACUAUACAUAGUCUUUUUCUGUGCCAAUGGGUUCUCCCUUAAACACACAGCUUGUACAUUUAGCAUUGUGCAUGGCCACACCCCACAGUGCUGACUAAAUGCCACUUACACACAUUGGCUCUGAUUCCAGUGCUACACGUGGCGAGUCACACUGCUUUCACUAUUCGUAUGUAGAAGCACAAGGGUUGAUUAUGGAAAAUAAACACCCAGAAUCAAUUCAAGAUCCAGUACACAAUACACAAAUCUGAGGUUGCCCUGGAGGUGGCCCCCUGUGUUGCAGGCUGUGACUUCACUGGAGGCUUGUUCUGAACACACACCAGGAUGCAUCUUGCACAAGACACAUCGUCACCCACCCCACACACACCACAGACACACACAGACACACACAGACACACAGACACACACACACACACACACUCGAGUGCACGCCAGCCAAAGUCAUGUCAAAGAAUUCUGCUCAGAUUCUA